Molecule: transfer RNA, 72 nt
Filed under: Camelus bactrianus (Bactrian camel)
Lineage: Eukaryota; Metazoa; Chordata; Mammalia; Artiodactyla; Camelidae
Also listed under: 2 other names
Rfam family: tRNA
About the family: Transfer RNA (tRNA) molecules are approximately 80 nucleotides in length. Their secondary structure includes four short double-helical elements and three loops (D, anti-codon, and T loops). Further hydrogen bonds mediate the characteristic L-shaped molecular structure. tRNAs have two regions of fundamental functional importance: the anti-codon, which is responsible for specific mRNA codon recognition, and the 3' end, to which the tRNAs corresponding amino acid is attached (by aminoacyl-tRNA synthetases). tRNAs cope with the degeneracy of the genetic code in two manners: having more than one tRNA (with a specific anti-codon) for a particular amino acid; and 'wobble' base-pairing, i.e. permitting non-standard base-pairing at the 3rd anti-codon position.
Source: Rfam by way of RNAcentral
GAGGGUAUAGCUCAGUGGUAGAGUGCAUGCUUAGCAUGCACGAGGUCCUGGGUUCAAUCCCCAGUACCUUCA